Prionailurus viverrinus (fishing cat) is the source of this 476-nucleotide long non-coding RNA. RefSeq lists it as uncharacterized. The record is from RefSeq and is a predicted model, not a curated record. Lineage: Eukaryota; Metazoa; Chordata; Mammalia; Carnivora; Felidae. The transcript has 3 exons.
CGGAAGUGUUUCUGAACAAGCAACAGGAUGGAGAAACCCUGGAGAGAGGAGUCAGGAGUUCCACCUGCUCUGUCAGCCAGCGACUGGUCUCUGCUCCGUUGCUGAAGGUAAAGGUCCUGAGAAAAACCAGCAUCGACCGCAGCUGUCCUCAGGGAUACGUGUACACUCGAGAUAAGCUCCUGGGCACGCUGAGUGAAUGGACAGGCUCUGACUGCACAGCCCUUCCGAGACGGUGCUGCCGGGCUCUGGGGGUGUGGGGCUCCUGCGAAGGUCCUGGUGCAGCCGUCAGGAUCUUCUGCGCCCCACCAGAAGCCCGCCAGGUCAGCGCUGCAAGGAAAGGAACUCAGCAAACUCUGAAAAGAUAUGGAGGAAACUGAACUGCACAUUGCUGAGUGACAGUCUGAAAAGCCUGCAUACUGGAUGAUUCCCACUAGAGGACCUUUCUGGAAAAGGCAAAACUACAGAGGAAAUAAAAA